AUGCCCUGGAGCCGCGGCGGAAUCUCGUGUUUAAUCGUCCCGGCAGAGUUAAUGAUGCUCUCACGGUUGAUCGGGAAUCCUUUACCUUGCCUCUUUUGUAGUCCUUGUCGAGGAAUGUACAUGAUAAGGGAGAGGGCAUUGCUAGAAGUUGAUCUUUGGGUGAAGGAGGAAGGGGAUGGGUUAUCCGACAAACGGCUACUUUCUGUGUAUGCCGAGAUCGAUGGGGGGUAUGACUUGGAUGAACUGUUGGAUGAAGAGGUUUCUAGUGACCUUGGCAGCUUGGUCGUCGACUAUCUGUUACUUGAUGAGAGUGUUGAGGUUGUAAUACAAGUCUCUGCAAAGAUUGACCGCCCUCACAUGUGA
RNAcentral lists this ribosomal RNA (363 nucleotides) under Triticum aestivum (bread wheat). RNAcentral describes it as "partial small subunit ribosomal RNA". Lineage: Eukaryota; Viridiplantae; Streptophyta; Magnoliopsida; Poales; Poaceae. The record is from RNAcentral.